This 253-nucleotide ribosomal RNA is filed under the name uncultured bacterium. Its description in RNAcentral is "partial 16S ribosomal RNA". It matches the Rfam family "Bacterial small subunit ribosomal RNA", at positions 524 to 776 of the family's 1533-position model. The record is from RNAcentral.
UACGUAGGGGGCUAGCGUUGUCCGGAAUCAUUGGGCGUAAAGAGCGUGUAGGCGGUUCGGUAAGUCCGUUGUGAAAGUCAGGGGCUCAACCCUUGAAUGCCGGCGGAUACUGUCGGGCUAGAGUCCGGAAGAGGCGAGUGGAAUUCCCGGUGUAGCGGUGAAAUGCGCAGAUAUCGGGAGGAACACCUAUGGCGAAGGCAGCUCGCUGGGACGGUACUGACGCUGAGACGCGAAAGCGUGGGGAGCAAACAGG